GGACUUAUAGCUCAGUUGGUUAGAGCACCUGACUCAUAAUCAGGGGGUCCAUGGUUCGAGCCCAUGUUGGUCCA
Molecule: transfer RNA, 74 nt
Filed under: Pseudarcicella sp.
Lineage: Bacteria; Pseudomonadati; Bacteroidota; Cytophagia; Cytophagales; Flectobacillaceae
Description: tRNA-Ile
Rfam family: tRNA
About the family: Transfer RNA (tRNA) molecules are approximately 80 nucleotides in length. Their secondary structure includes four short double-helical elements and three loops (D, anti-codon, and T loops).
Source: RNAcentral